UAAUACCCCAUAAGAUCUUUGAUUGGCAUCGAUCAAAGAAGAAAACUCCGGUGGUAAAAGAUGGGCAUGCGUCCUAUUAGUUAGUUGGUAAGGUAACGGCUUACCAAGACUUCGAUAGGUAGGGGUCCUGAGAGGGAGAUCCCCCACACUGGUACUGAGACAGGACCAGACUCAUACGGGAGGCAGCAGUGAGGAAUAUUGGACAAUGGAGGCAACUCUGAUCCAGCCAUGCCGCGUGCAGGAAGACUGCCCUAUGGGUUGUAAACUGCUUUUAUACAGGAAGAAUUGCAUCUACGUGUAGUUGCUUGACGGUACUGUAC
This 320-nucleotide ribosomal RNA is filed under the name uncultured Flavobacteriaceae bacterium. RNAcentral's name for it is "bacterial SSU rRNA". It matches the Rfam family "Bacterial small subunit ribosomal RNA", at positions 164 to 483 of the family's 1533-position model. Lineage: Bacteria; Pseudomonadati; Bacteroidota; Flavobacteriia; Flavobacteriales; Flavobacteriaceae. The record is from RNAcentral.